GACGAACGCUGGCGGCGUGGAUUAGGCAUGCAAGUCGAACGGUAUCAUCCUUUCGGGGGUGAGAGAGUGGCGAACUGGUGAGUAACACGUAGGUUAUCUACCCUCAAGACGGGGACAACCCAGGGAAACUUGGGCUAAUACCGGAUGAAAGCAGCAGUGAUGUUGUUUGAAAGGUGGCGUAAGCUGCCGUUUGGGGAUGAGCCUGCGCUCUAUUAGUUAGUUGGCGGGGUAAAGGCCCACCAAGGCGAUGAUAGAUAGGCGGCCUUAACGGGUGGUCGCCCACACUGGGAUUGAGAUACGGCCCAGACUCCUACGGGAGGUAGCAGUCGAGAAUAGUCUACAAUGGCCGAAAGGCUGAUAGUGCGACGCCGCGUGAACGAAGAAGCCCUUCGGGUGUAAAGUUCUUUUAUAUGUGAGCAGUGCUUUCUAUGUGAACAGCAUGGGGAGAGAGAUAUAGCAUAUGAAUAAGCAACGGCUAACUCCGUGCCAGCAGCCGAC
This 498-nucleotide ribosomal RNA is filed under the name uncultured bacterium. Its description in RNAcentral is "bacterial SSU rRNA". It matches the Rfam family "Bacterial small subunit ribosomal RNA", at positions 28 to 518 of the family's 1533-position model. The record is from RNAcentral.